GACGAACGCUGGCGGCGUGCUUAACACAUGCAAGUCGAACGGAAAGGCCCUGCUUUUGUGGGGUGCUCGAGUGGCGAACGGGUGAGUAACACGUGAGUAACCUGCCCUUGACUUUGGGAUAACUUCAGGAAACUGGGGCUAAUACCGGAUAGGAGCUCCCGCUGCAUGGUGGGGGUUGGAAAGUUUCGGCGGUUGGGGAUGGACUCGCGGCUUAUCAGCUUGUUGGUGGGGUAGUGGCUUACCAAGGCUUUGACGGGUAGCCGGCCUGGGAGGGUGACCGGCAACAUAGGAACAGGGAACGGCCCAGACUCCUACGGGGGGCAGCAGUGGGGAAUAUUGCACAAUGGGCGGAAGCCUGAUGCAGCAACGCCGCGUGCGGGAUGACGGCCUGCGGGUUGUAAACCGCUUUCGCCUGUGACGAAGCGUGAGUGACGGUAAUGGGUAAAGAAGCACCGGCUAACUACGUG
This 467-nucleotide ribosomal RNA is filed under the name uncultured bacterium. RNAcentral describes it as "partial 16S ribosomal RNA". It matches the Rfam family "Bacterial small subunit ribosomal RNA", at positions 28 to 507 of the family's 1533-position model. The record is from RNAcentral.